RNAcentral lists this ribosomal RNA (949 nucleotides) under Triticum aestivum (bread wheat). RNAcentral describes it as "partial small subunit ribosomal RNA". Lineage: Eukaryota; Viridiplantae; Streptophyta; Magnoliopsida; Poales; Poaceae. The record is from RNAcentral.
CAUCUGUCGGUACCCGCUGUAGGUAGGGCGAGAGCGAUGGGUUGGACACGCCGUGCCGGUACCCGCGGCACCGUCCCUUCUGAUCCCACGUACCCCGACGAGCCGCGACGACGUGCCCUCCACGGCCCCGCGACGACAUCUCAUCUGCCUCCUUCCCCCUCUCCACUUAGCCCCUUCCAUGUUGGACCACCGCCCCCCCUGACGCUUGCCGCCGCGAACCGCGAUGUCGGCGUUGCUGUCUUCGAUGUAGGCCACCGCGCACCUCGACGUUGGUACCGCCGCUGGCCCUCGAUGCUGCGGCUGCUACGACCUUGGCCGGUCAAAAAAACGACCUUGCCCGCUGUCCUCUACUCCUUGGCCGAAAAAUUUUUCGAAGUUGGUACAUGACCCUUCGACGUUGGCGUACGUGCUCACGACGUUCGGCAGAUGUGGCCUCGAUGUUGGUCUCCGCGGCCAGCGGCCGCUCCGACGUUCGUGCUCGUGAGCCUCAACAUCGGCUGCCACUACAUACGACCUGACCUCUACUACACACGAAGUUGCUGCCCUCUAACUUUGGACGACGCUCCAGGCCGCUCGCCGUAGUUACCUCCCCCGCAACGACCGGCACUUCGCACCGCCGUCACUAAAAACAAACGCUGGACGCGCUGUUCCACUACGCUUGGGCCGCCGCUGCUACCACUGAUCGCCACGACCUCGGCGCCCGCGCACGGGCCACCGUGUAGUCAACCACGCACGCCCGACGUGAAACAAGUGCUAGGUGAAAAAGGCCCAUCCCUCUUAGUCACCCACCUCUGCAACUGCAACUGAAAUACGAUACUAAUAGAUUCCCGGUAGUCGCGUAAUUAGAUUACCAAAUUUUGGCUGACCGGUUUUCAAAGGCGGCCGCGUGGCCGCGGAUAGUGGGUGGAAAAGUGAAGGUGACCGUUGUUCGACCACGUACUUCUAGGUG